This 550-nucleotide long non-coding RNA is filed under the name Manihot esculenta (cassava). Its description in RNAcentral is "long non-coding RNA (MESC_LNC012797)". Lineage: Eukaryota; Viridiplantae; Streptophyta; Magnoliopsida; Malpighiales; Euphorbiaceae. The record is from RNAcentral.
UCGAGCAAAUAUCCUUGUUAGUGGUUUCUCUAUAGAGAAUAUCUUUUAGAGAUUAUUUUAGGAAUUAGUUUUUUGCAAGGGGAGUUGGAAAAAUAGUAAAAAAACUAUUGUGGGUAUUUUAAAAAAUAUUUUGAGUGUUAUUAAUUUUAUGUAGAUUUCACGGUAAGUUCUUUCUUUAUAUAUAUUUAUUUGUAAUAGUUAAAGAAUUAUUUGAAAUUCAACAUAGUCUAAAAUUAAAGUAAAUUACAUUAAAAUUAUUUUUUUUUAUUUCAUUUUUUUAUUUUUCUGUAGUAAUUACUUUUACUACUUUAAAGGGGUAUUUCUCCAACAUGAUAGACUCAGUGAUAGGCUAUGUAUCGAGUCUUCUCUUCACCUUAGCCUUUGUUGCAUCUCUUAUUUUUGUUUGUAAAGGAAGCAAGAAGGGAAGUCCAAGUAAGCUUCCACCAGGCCCAGCUGCUUUACCAAUUUUAGGAAACCUUCUUCAUCUUGGUGACCAACCCCACAAGUCUUUGGCGAAGCUUGCCAAGCUUCAUGGCCCGUUGAUUAGNNN